UUCUAAAUAGCAAUCGAGGCUAUUACAUCAUGGGAAACAUACAACGGUGGUAUAUAAAAGAGGGAUGAACAGUAGCAGAAUCAAGUAUCUUUUUUGUUCUAUAGGGAUAGCAAUAGGGACAAGGACACUGAGGAUAGACGAAUUUAAAGCUCACACUAGUGUGUACUAAAAAUCCACAUCAAUCACAUACUUCUUUGUGCAGAUUUUGUAAUGUAUGAAAACUUUCUACUAUGAUUAGGGAAGUAAUGGAAGUUCAAUACAUAACAAUUAGUUUACACAUGAAUUCUCAGAAUGAAAAUACACACAGACAAUACAGUUCUGGUGGUUUUACAAACAGGCAUAAUUUAUGAACCCCGAAUGUAGAAUAAAGAAAGCCUAAAUUAAAAAAAGAAAAAAUAGAGAGCAAUUCGACUAUAAUAAUGGACAAGACAAAGGUAACCAUCUUCUUUCAAGAUUAUGAAAUCUACACUACCGAGCUUAUAAAUCUAGAUAAUCCCCAUGUUUGCACUAUAUUUCUAACAAUAAAUUACACCCACAGUUUAAUGCUCUACCCCUUUUGCACUUCUAACUUCAAAAUUUUAUACUUGGUUUUUUAAGUAGUUCUAUUCUUUUUCAUAGCUUGCUUACUAAAAACCCCGUCAAACUAUUCAAAAAAAUAGUCUUCUUCUCACACCCCUACCCCAUCUACAAUGUGUGCUCCAAGAAUCACACAAGAAUGAACAAGAAACAAAAAAUAAAAAUAAAAAAUCAUAGCAUAAUAAUAAUAAUAAUAAUAAUAAUAAUAAUAAUAAAUUGACAUUUAUAAUAAUUAGUUAAUCCAAAGAUUCAAAACCCUCAGAAAAUAAGAAACCCAUAAAAUGAAGUAAACCAUUUCAAAACCCCAUUCAAACUAUUCAUAAUGAAGUAAAUCAAAGAUUUGCAAGCUCGAGGAAAAACAAAGUGGGUCUUCACAUAACCAUUAACUUACCUAUUUCAAUAAAAAUUGGUGCAUUUCUUCUGAGAUCUCAGCUAAGAAAGCUAUGAUACCUGAGAAAACUAUCUAGCCCCACAAUAAAUCAAGUGAGAAGAAGGUAAGGUUUUUCCCUCUUCUAUGAGCCUAAGCUAAGCUCAUCUUAAGAAGAUGCAGGAAAUAUAAGAUUUUUACGAGUCUAAAGUUAGAAUUUUCCCUGCAAUGUGAGAGGAGAAAGAGGGGGAAAAUAUGGUACAGAACAAGAGUCAAGCGUGGAAUGAAGAAAAAAGAACAAAAGAGGAAGAAAAUACAAUACUGCUCAUCAAAGAGAGAGGGAAGGGGAAAAAAUCCAAAAUUUACAAAUCAACAUGUGGGAAAAAGUUAGAGAAACAUUGCUCGAGUUUAGGAUUAAGUGAGGAUUAACAUCCCCAAACAAAUAAUUACAAAAAAAAAUCCCUCAAGAUUGAGUCCCUGGCGAAGAUAUAUGUUGUGGUGCUUUAACUCGUGGACCCUAAGCAUCAGCAACCGUGGUAUUCUCAUUUUUAUGGACCUCAACGAGGAAGCGCUGCAGCAGAACUAAAAGCAUACUUUGUAAUUCAGCUUUGACAUCUCAUGAAACUUUUGAGAAGAUUUUUGAAAAGCCUUGGAGAGGGAGGAACGGAUAGGUUGAGUGGAAAAAGAAAGACCUGAGCAAGAGAGUUGGAAAGAGAGAGUGUAGAAAAAAAGAGAGAGAGAAAGGAAAAGUAAGGGGAAGACGGUAGAAGUCUCUUUGCAUAUAUCUGAAGCAAACAGUAAAAACCAAAGGAAAAACCGGAUGAAUACGCUAGAAUGAAGUCCCUAUUUUAUUGUAUAGGGAUAUAUAUAAUGAACGCUCCCAACAAAAAACAUAAAUAUGCACCCAAGAAAUAGAGAAAUUGAAAAUACAUAUCAAUCUGAAACUUAAGAAAGUACCCAGAAGAAAGAAUUGAACACAAAAAUGACAGUCUACACAUAGGAAGCUCAAAAUUCAUGGAUCAAUCUAAGAGAAAGGAAAAGCACAUUCUUCUGCUACGAAAAAAAACAUAGAAGAAGAAAGAACCUUUUGCCAUUGCAAAACUAAAGGGAACAUAAGAGUAAAAAGAUAGACUUGAACGACAACAACAAUAUACCUACUCUUUUAAUAAAACCUAGAUCAAUGUGGAAAUAUCGCACAUGCUAAAGCUCCAAAAAAAGAAAAAAAAUCCAAAAGUAAUAGAUUCAAGAAAUUAGGAGAGGGAAAAAUGACUCCAAAAUAGAAAGAUUACAUCUCUAGUGAAAAUAAAUACCAUAUCUUAAUGAAUAAAUAGUGAAAAUACCAUACAUAGACAUAUGUAGCAAAAAUUGGUCGUUGAAAAUGGACAAAAAUGAAUUAAGAAAAAUAAACACUCACUAUAAUAGCAUUAAAUAAAGUUUUACAGCCAUCCCUCAAUUAUGGUGAGCUUUAGCUCCUUAUUUUUCCUACUUUCUUCAAUAACCUCAUAGACAAUUAAUAAGUUUAAAUAAACUGAUGGAAAGAGAAAACAACAGAAAAGUCAGAAGAAGAAAUAUUAAUCUCGCAAAAACCAAAAGUAGGGCACAUCUAGAACAAACUACACAAAAACAAAUGACUUUCUCCAUUGUAAAACUAAAGGGAACACAAAAGUACGAAAAUAGACUUAAACGGCAACAACAGUUUAUCUAUUCUUGCUACAACCCAGAAUGUAGAUUAGUAAAGCAAGAUCCCAAAUGCUAGAACCCCCACUAAAAGAAAUAAAAAAAAAUUAAAAAAACAACCGAAAGGUACAGAGAUUCAACAAAUUAUUAAAGUGAAAAAUAACUUAAGAACAAAAAAUUAUCUCUCUAGUAUGAAGAUAAAAACCAACAACGGAAAAAGAUUUCACGGGCGAGAACUGAUCAAAAAUUGAAUGAUCCUUCGAGCAACAUCUAACAUGCGCCUAAAAAAAUAUCAAAUCCCAGAAAGCAUCCAAACUAAAAUACAGAAACAAAAAAUAUGAACCUUUCUCUGCUACACGAAGAAAAAAAACAUAGAGCACCAAAAGAGAUUUAAACUAUCUAAAUUUUUUUUUACCUACUCACCCUACAAACUGGAAAUGAAGACCAGCAAGCAAGAUCCCGCUGUCUGCAGGAAAAAAAUAGAAGAUUUGAUAUAUGAAAAAAAAAGGGGGGGUGGGGAAAUAACCAAAAAAAAAAAAAAUUCAUAAAAGUACCUCUCUUCGGUGGAAAGAUGAAAACUAUCAACAAAUUAAGAUUCCACAUGUGAUAAUCGAUAGAAACUUGAAAGAAAUAAGAUCUAAGACAUUGCACAAUUGGAAAGAAGAAAAACUGUAUAG
Molecule: long non-coding RNA, 3297 nt
Filed under: Olea europaea subsp. europaea
Lineage: Eukaryota; Viridiplantae; Streptophyta; Magnoliopsida; Lamiales; Oleaceae
Source: RNAcentral